GAGUACUUUAGUAUCAGUUUUGUGAUCAUCUUAAUGAUUAAGAAACCAUAGCACAAUUAGUUCUCUAAGGAAAUCUUAGUGCAUUCUUAUGACUAAGAAGAGGGAUCUUGAAUUGUUGAAAUGGUUAAAUCAAGAAGAUGAGUCAUACUUCAUUCCAAUACAAGUCUUAGAGUCAUACUCCAAGAUUGUAAUUUGAGUGACAUGUCUUAAAGAAGGUUUAAAACACUUGUCAAAUGUAAGAGUAAAAGUUUCCUACUCUUGUACAUUUGAAAUUGGUAAGUUGUGAUGUUUUGGAUAAAACAAAGACCAACUAAGGCCAAUUAUGUGAAGUGUUUGUCUUGAUUAGAAUUUGCACUAUCUCCUGGAUGUUUGACAAGGGAGUCUUAUAGGUCAAGAGGAUAGUGGGAGUCUUAAAGGUCUUGAAAGUCUCAAGAACUAAUCAAGAAUAAAACCUGAAGUUCUUCACUAGCACACGACUUGAGGUUUAUAACCUAUCAUGUUGACAUAUUCUGUGCCCAUUCCAGUUAAAGUUGGCUUUGCAUAUGAGUUUUUAGAGUUCUCAAUUGGUUGGAGAAGAAGGAAAAGAUGAGAAGAAGAGAGCAUCUUGUAGAGAGAGAAAGUUAGAGAGAAGAAGUGUGUGUGUGAGAGAGAAUCUAUUGUAAGGAGCAUAAUUCAUAUUGAAUACAUCAUAGAUUCAUCUUCUUCUUCUUCUCCUUCUCUUAUAUAUUGAUUUGACAUCAUCCAAUUGAUUGGGAUUCCGCACCAUCAAUUGGAUCUGAUUGAUACACAAGCAAUUUUGGUAUCAGAGCUUGGUUGUAUCAAUCAUUUUUUUCAGAUCUAGAGCUUAUUUGAUCUUAUUUUGAAAAGACAAAUUUUUGUUUUAGGAUAGUUUAAAUUUGCGCAUUUACUUUCGUUUCUCUCCUAUGCACAAAUUUAGGGGGAGAAAUAAAAACAAAACAAAAAUUAAAAAAUUAAAAAAAAAAGAAAAUCAAAAUAAUAAUGUGUCGGUUAUGGAAUGUGCUUGAGGGAGAUGUUUUGGGAAGUGAUAUGAUUAUGUGAUAACAUGCAACCUAAGUCUGCGUAACGUACCCAAAAUUGAAGGGUCUAUGCUCUGGUUUGAUGCGUCAGUAGGCUCGAAGAAUUUAACAGACUUGACUAGGUGCAGAUGAACUUAAGGAAUCCAUAGACUUGAUAAAUCUUGACCUAGUUAGUUCCGUUCAGCCUGACAAUACGACGCUUGGAUAGGUUUAGCAGGGAGAUAUAUAUGGGAAUCUACUCGUCACAUUAAAUGAACCUGUAUCUGGAACCGUGGUUUAAGCUUUUCCUCGAUGUGUGGAUUCUGUCCUUAAUUCCGGUAUUGAUGGGGCGACUGGUAAAUUCCGAUGAAUUAGCUCUGUAGAAAAUCAUUUUCUUUCUUUCUUACUGUUAGUCAUAUGUUGCCUCCUCUGCGUGAUUGGAAGAGAUCUGACCUGGACUGCAACAUAUGCAAAUCUAUUUCUCUGCAUAUUAUAUCUAUGAAAUUCUUCUUAUCUGUUAGCCAUACGUUGUCUCUUUUGCAUGAUUAACAAUCCGACCUGGUACACAGCAUAUGCAACCUUCUACUUCUCAAUCCCUCUAAANGCAUAUGCACUAUAAGUGAUAAUACUCUGAAUCUAUCUUCUCCCCUAAUGAUGGUCUGCUCAUCCGAUGUAAGGAGUACUCUGGAAGUCCUUGAUUACCGGGGCAUAUCUGGAAGCGGGAAACAUGUUCCAGUACAAUUAAAAUUGAACACUCAAAGAUUGUCUAUAGAUCUCGCUGCUCAAUUUAGGUGGACAACAAUAUCCCUGGUCGUCGUCAGCUGAACGGUCCUUAAGAUAUAGUAUCUAGAAACUUAGGAUCAGAUAUAAUAUCUAGGAACUUAGGAUCACAUUGUCUUGUCACUUAUAGUAUGUCCUAAUUUUGUCACAAAUUUUUCGUGUUUAACUGGACAACAAUACCGGCGAUCGACCAGAAAAAGACGUGAAGAUAGAAGGUACCGACAAGCGGAUAAAGGUUGUCUAAAAACUUUGAUCCCAAAUCAUUCUUAAAGUUAGAUAUUAUUUUAUUUUUGUUAAAUUUGUUCAUAGUUUUCCUCUAUGCAUAAAUUUUAGGGGGAGAAUUAAAAAUAAUUCAAAAAUCAAACAAAAAUCAGAAAAUUAAAAAUCCAAAAAUAGUGUUAUUUCUUGUUCAGAAAAAUCAGAAAAUCCAAAAAUAUUUUAUUUUGUGUGUUAAUUUUUCUUUUAGUUUUAUUUUGUCUUGAAAAGUGAUUUCAGGUAUAGAUAAGACUCAUGAAGUUUGUGUUGAAGAUUUCUGAGCCAAUGCUUCAUCUGUGAUCAUCGAAGAAUUCACAUUCGAAGGAACAAGAAAUGAAGAUUAUCCUUUCAACAUUUAAUUUGUGAACCCCAGAAGCAAGGUGAAGCUGAAAUUGAAGAUUAUGUGACGGAUUGCAUUGAAGCCUCCUCAAUCAGUCUGCUGCUAUCUUAAAGCUGCUGAAGUGAUCCAGAAGAUUCGUUCUCUCUGUUCUCUCUGAAAAUUCUCAAGCUGAAAGCGCUAUCUUUUAAGAAUCAGUACAUCAAGCCUCCUCACCCAACAUGCGUUCAAUGUCAAAUUUUGAAGAAAAACCCAACCGCUCAAGAUGAAUUCAUGUAUUGAAGAUUCAUAUGUUCAUCUUCAUGCUGUGAAGAAAUUUGAAGAUUAAUGCUAAAGCCAAGCUCCAAAUGAAGAUUAACAAGUAAAAGCAGCUACUUUUUAGGGGAGUUUGUUGGGCCAAUUAGAAAAGAAAGCUAUAAACCAAGGGGGAGAUUGUUGGCUCAAAAAUAUGGUUUAUACUUUGCUUUUCUAGGAAAAUAUAUUUUUAUGUAAUAUUGUAUGUGUGUGCGGCUGUACACAUGUGUAUGGCUGGAGGUCCAUAUAAAUAAAGGAGUGCAUGUGAGUGUACGGUUGGAGAAAAAGAAAGGAAAAGAAGGCUAGAGUUGGAAAAGAAAGCUAGAGAGAAGAAGUGUGAGUGAGAGAGAAUCUAUUGUAAGGAACAUAACUCAUAUCAUUAAUACAUCAUAGAUUCAUCUUCUUCUUCUUUUCAUUCUCUUAUAUAUUGAUAUGAAAUCAUCCAAUUCAUUGGGAUUCCGCACCAUCAAUUGGAUUUGAUUGAUACACAAGCAAUUUUGGGGACUUAUAAUUGGUAUUAGAGCUUGGUUGUAUCAAUCAAUUUUUUCAGAUCUGGAGCAUAUUUGAUCGUAUUUUGAAAAGAGAAUAUCGUUUUUGGACAGAUCUCGCAAAAAUAAGGGGGGUUACUUCUUUGCAUUUUUCAUAAAAACGAGUUUUUGAGCAAAAAAGGGUGAAAAACGUCGUUUUUUUCGCAAAUCUGUUGAAGGAGUGCGGCCACUUGAAGGUGUGCGGCUCAGCAGCCUCGGUGUGUGCGGCUCGGUGUGCGGCCCCAGAUUACGGCUCGGUGUGCGGCCCCAGAUUACGGCUCGGAGUGUGCGCCUCUGUGUGCGGUCUCGUGUNCGGCUCAGCAGAAUCGGUCUCGGCUUCACGGCUUCGUCCUCGCUUCGCAGCUCUAGUCCUCGCAAGCAGCAACCUCGCAUAGCAGCCCUUUCAUAAAAAAAGGGAAACGAAGUUGAGGUGCCAGGAAUCGAACCGUGGACCUCCUGGUCAUUAACAAGCGCGCCUUAACCAACUCGUCUAGGAGGAUCUUUGUAUCAUUCUUCCGAAAUUUGAAAUAUAACUCGUGCUUUUCGAACCUAAUUUCGCAUUUUUAACAAAAUCAACCCAAAAAUCAAUUUUCUUUAUUUUUAAAAUCCUUUUUCAACCCAAAAAUUUUAGUUUUUAAAUUUUAACUUUUAUUUUUGAAUUUUUAGUUAGAAUUUUAACUUUGACUUUUAAAAGUUGAUGCUUGACUUUAAAUUUUGACUUUCUCGUUUGACUUUUAAAUUUUCAAAUUUGGCUUUUCUAUUUGACUUUUCAAGUUUGACUUUUAAAUUUGACUGUUUAAAUUUGACUUUUAAGGUUGACUUUCUCGGUUUUUAAGUCAAAGGACAAUUAGAAAUAUAAAAAUAUAUAAUUUUUUUUUAAAAAAAAAUGAGUUCCACAUCAAUUCCGGUAAAUGAAGUUUCAUGUACUCCAUCUUGUAAAGCUACAAUAAAAUUUCUUCGCGAACAAAUUGAUUUGCUAAAAAGGGAAAAUGAGGACCUUAAAUAUGAAGGCUAUACUCUAAGGAAAGGUCAGAAACCUUUAAAAGCACAAUUAGAGGCCAAGACUAAGGACUUUAGGAAAUUACAAGAAGAUUACAACAACAAGUGUGAAAAUUAUGAUCACAUUAAACGCAAACUUGCUGCUGUAACUGAAGAACUUGAUGCUUUGAAAAUAAAGUGUGGAAAAACAGAUGUUAGUUUCAAAAAUUAUUCUGCAUCAAGUAAUACUGUCGAGUCCUUAGUAGAAAAGCAAUUGAGUUUUAAAGACAAUCAAACCAACGGUCUAGGGUAUCACAGUGUGCCCCCUCCUUUUAAUCAUAACUAUAACCCACCCCUUGAGACCAAUGAGGAAGAAAUGCCUGCUCAGUAUGGCCAAACCCCUGCUCUAGAUUCUGUUAAGACUGAACAAUCAGGGCCAACUGAGGGUGCUAAGCUGAACGAUACUAAUGAUUCUACUUCUUGUGCAGGUAAAGUAGUAGAGGAUGAGAACAAGGAGAAAACUAUUGAACACACCAAUGACUCCUUGAACUCUGAAUCUGUUGCUUCGAACUCAACUGCUUCUGAUCAACCUGUUGUUGAGAAGUACAGGCCACCAUUUCAAGUGAAACGGUCGACCUGUUGCAACUGUGCGUGUGGGAACAAUCAGAAACAAGGCAAAGACACGCCACCAGGGGCAGGAAGAAACAACUCCACAGUGAAGAAAAAGACAUGUUUUCACUGUGGAACACCUAGACACAUUGCCAGAAAUUGUCCGAAUCGAGCAUACAUUCCCUACUACGCACAAGGGUGGCAGAACACGCCAAGAUGGAGAUACUUCAAAAGAAACCCCUCAAGGUCAUGUUCAGACAAUGACGAUUGGAAUGCCACGGAGGACAAGAGUUCAACUCCCAAGGCCAAGAAAUCAAAUCCUAAGGUCAAGAAGGGAAUGUCGGCCAAGAAGCCAAAUCCAAGAGAUGCUCCCAUGAAGUCAAAAUCAAAGUCAUCUCAACGGCCGACAUCUAGAUCAAAAACAAGUACUGAGCCACCCAUCAGAUCGAAAAAGAAAUGGGUUAAACCCAACUACAAAUGGGUUCCAAAGGCUCACUCUCCUAAAUCUUCUAACGCUUCUAAUAUUUUUACAUCAUAUGUUUGUGAUAAACAAGAUAUGUCAUGGGAGAGAGUACCGUGCAAGGAUGACAAAGGNAAAGGUCGACCCAGUUUCAAAAUGGACUGGGUUCCAAAGACCAACUGAUCCCGCUCUGUGUCGGAGCAGCUAUGGAGGCAUAUCAUCAGACUUCGGUUUGUUGGUAGUGGCUGUUUCAGGCACAUGAUAGGAGGCACCUCUCAACUAUACAACACUCAGAACAUUGUUUGAGAGUAUGUGUCCUUGUGGGAAGGGAAGAAAGGAAAUGAUCACUCAUGGGGUUUGUGCAUAACGACAUGAAGAAUUUUCGGAUCUGUUUUGAGAUUACGCGUGCUGUUCUCAGACCUUCUUGAUGUAAAUUCAAUCGGUAACUUACGGUUUGAGUUUUCUUCUCUAUACUCCUGAGUUUUUCUUAAGCUGAUUCGCUUUAAAGACUAAUUUUUGUUUUAGGAUAGUUUAAAUUUGCGCAUUUACUUUCGUUUCUCUCCUAUGCACAAAUUUAGGGGGAGAAAUAAAAACAAAACAAAAAUUAGAAAAUUUUAAAAAAUCCAAAAACAUUAGAAAAUCAGAAAAUAAAAAAUAUGUUGGUUAUGAAAUGUGCUUGAGGGAGAUGUUUUGGGAAGUGAUAUUAUCAAGUGAUAACAGGCAACCUGAGUCUGCGUAACGUACCCGAAGUUGAAGGGUCUAUGCUCUGGUUUGAUGCGUCGGUAGGCACGAAAAAUUUUAAAUGGACUUGACUAGGGAGAGUUGAACUUAGGAAAUUUAUAGACUUGACAAAUCUUGACCUAGUUAGAUCCGUUCAGCCUGACAAUACGACGCUCGGAUAGGUUGAGCAGGGAGAUAUAUAUGGGAAUCUACUCGUCACAUUAAAUGAACCCGUACUUGGAACCGUGGUUUAACUUUUCCUCGAUGUGCGGAUUCUGUCCUUAAUUCCGGUUGGAUGGGGCGACUGGUAAAUUCCGAUAAAUUAGGUCUGUAGAAUGUCAUUUUCUUUCUUUCCGUCUGUUAGUCAUAUGUUGUCUCCUUUGCGUGACUUCCAAUCCAACCUGGUACACAACAUAUGCAACUCUAUUUCUCUGCAAGUUAUAUAUGUGAAAGACUUCUUAUCUGUUAGCCAUAUUCUGUCUCUUCUGCGCGACUUCUAAUCCUACCUGGUACACAGCAUAUGCAACCUUCUACUUCUCAACCCCUCUGAAGAAAUAAAUAAUAAGUAAUAGAAUUCUAAAUCUAUCCUCUCUCUGAAUGGUUGUCUGCUCACCUGGUGUAAGGAGUACUCUGGAAGUUCUUGAUUACCGGGGCAUAUCAGGAAACGGGAAACACGUUCUAGUACACUAAAAAUUGAACACAUACAGAUUGUCUAUAGAUCUCGCUGCUCAAUUUAGGUGGACAACAAUAUCCCUGGUCGUCGUCAGCUAAUGGUCCUUAAGAUAUAGUAAGAUAUAGUAUCUAGAAACUUAGGAUCGGAUAUAAUAUCUAGGAACUUAGGAUCACAUUGUCUUGUCACUUAUAGUAUGUCCUAAUUUUGUCACAAUUUUUUGUGUUUAAGUGGACAACAAUACCGACAAUCGACCAGACAAAGAUGUGAAGAUAAAAGGUACCGACAAGCGGAUAAAGGUUGUCUAAAAACUUUGAUCCCAAAUCAUUCUUAAAGAUUAGAUAUCAUUUUACUUUUGUUAAAUUUGUUCAUAGUUUUUCUCUAUGCACAAAUUUUAGGGGGAGAAUCAAAAAUAAUUCAAAAAUCAAUCAAAAAUCAGAAAAUUAAAAUCCAAAAAUAGUGUUAUUUCUUGUUCAGAAAAAUCAGAAAAUCCAAAAAUAUUUUUGUUUCUAUUUUUAUUUUUAUUUUGUGUGUUAAUUUUUCUUUUAGUUUUGUUUUGUCUUGAAAAGAGAUUUCAGGUAUAGAAAAGAGUCAUGAAGUUUGUGUUGAAGAUUUCUGAGUCAAGGCUUCAUCUGUGAGCAUCGAAGAAUUUGCAUUCGGAGGAGCAAGAAAUGAAGAUUAUUCUUUAAACAUUCAAUCUAUCAACCCCAGAAGCAUGGUGAAGAUGUACUUGAAGAUUAUGCCACAUAUUGCAUUGAAGCCUCCUCGAUCAAUCUGUUGUUAUCUAUGAACCUGCUUAAGUGAUCCAGAAGAUUUGUUCUCUCUAUUCUCUCUGAAGAUUCUCAUGCUGAAAGCGCUAUCUUUCAAGAAUCAGUACAACAAGCCUCCUCACCCAAUGUGCGUUCAAUGUCAAAUUCUUCAAGAAAUGCCCAACUACUCAAGAUGAAGUCAUUCAUAGAAGAUUCAUAUGUUCAUCUUGAUGCUGUGAAGAAAUCUGAAGAUUAAUGCUGAAGCCAAGCUCCCAACGAAGAUUAACAAGAAAAGCCAACUACUUUUUAGGGGGGGCUUAUUAGGCCAGUUAGAAAAGAAAGCUAUAAACCAAGGGGGAGAUUGUUGGGUCAAAAUAUGGUUUAUACUUUGCUUUUCUUGGAAAAUAUAUUUUUAUGUAAUGUUGUAUGUGUUUGCGGUUUGUGUGUACGGCCCUACACGUGUGUACGGCCGUACACUGGGUGUGUGGCUGUACACAUGUGUAUAGCUGGAGGUCCAUAUAAAUAGAGUGUGCAUGUGGGAGUGUACGGUUGGAGGGGAGGAGAGCAUCUUGUAGAGAGUGAAAGUUAGAGAGAAGAGGUGUGUGAGAGAAUCUAUUGUAAGGAGCAUAAUUCAUAUUGAAUACAUCAUAGAUUCAUCAUCUUCUUCUUCUCAUUCUCUUCUAUAUUGAUCUGACAUCAUCCAAUUGAUUGGGAUUCCACACCAUCAAUUGGAUAUGAUUGAUACACAAGCAAUUUUGGGGACUUACACACAACAACUUGGAAUCAAUGGCAGACCCUUGAGCCGCCAGGUGGCAAGAAAUUAAGAUUGAGUUCAAUCCAUAUGGUUUUGGAUUUGUCAUUAUCUGUGUCUUGUGAUUAAGGGUUUGACAAAUUCAUAUGGGUAGGAACUCAUACACCAUAAAAAUCUAAGUGUCAUAAGGUUUCUCUCCGAUUCAUGAAAAUGAUGGUGAGGAAACACUUUCACUAAGUAGAUUUUAGCUAGAUAGCAAUUGCGAUAUUUGCAUUCUCAAAGUCGUUAGUGGAGCGUGUGUGGUUUACCGGCACACUAACCUGGACUUGUGAGAAGUGGCAAAAAGGUCUAACCAUUAUGAUUACGGCAUCCCUCUUCAUAAUUGUUUAGACACACAAGUGUGCUAUCUAAGG
Molecule: long non-coding RNA, 8559 nt
Filed under: Lactuca sativa (garden lettuce)
Lineage: Eukaryota; Viridiplantae; Streptophyta; Magnoliopsida; Asterales; Asteraceae
Description: long non-coding RNA (LSAT_LNC001741)
Source: RNAcentral